RNAcentral lists this long non-coding RNA (503 nucleotides) under Pan troglodytes (chimpanzee). RNAcentral's name for it is "lincRNA". Lineage: Eukaryota; Metazoa; Chordata; Mammalia; Primates; Hominidae. The record is from RNAcentral.
GGAUGCGCAUGAAAGAACGUGCCACAGAAAAUGAGACACCUCAAUGAGGGUUGUGGAAAAUGCACUAGAAUCAACAAACAUGGGGACUAAUUCAACUCGGAUAUCACGUCUUCAGAGAAGUUUUUCCUGCCCUCCUCUCCCUGUAGAAUUAAGUAUUCUUCCACUGUGCCACCCUCUAACUUGUGCUCAUAUCUUCCUCUAUUGUAGUUAUGUGUUCACAUCCCUGUUGUUUUUGUACCGGCUUCUCCCAAAGGGAGACAUUUAGUCUUAUUCUUCCUGGUAACUUUAGCACAGACCUGGCAGAUUGUUGACACUCAACGAAUGUUUAUCGACUCAAAUGCGUUCAGUUGAACAUUGACCUUUGAUCAACUCUGGGAAAAGUCUGCAAAGCUAGUUAGGACAUUCAGAAAUUCAUUUCAUUUCAAUCCUAACUAAAUAAAUUAUUGAAGUCUCAGAACUUCUCAGUACUUGAUUUAGACACAUAGAAACUUGGGUAAAUAACA